CUGAGGCACAAUGGUUAAGCGCUUGGCUGCCAACCAAAAGGUUGGUGGUUUGAACCCACCCAG
This 63-nucleotide transfer RNA is filed under the name Loxodonta africana (African savanna elephant). It matches the Rfam family "tRNA", at positions 5 to 66 of the family's 71-position model. From Rfam's summary of the family: Transfer RNA (tRNA) molecules are approximately 80 nucleotides in length. Their secondary structure includes four short double-helical elements and three loops (D, anti-codon, and T loops). The record is from Rfam by way of RNAcentral. Lineage: Eukaryota; Metazoa; Chordata; Mammalia; Proboscidea; Elephantidae.